UGAGUUGGACCAGAGGGAGUUCAUUUCCUGUUCGGGGUCGGCCUUGAGGGCUGUGCUGCUCCUUCUCCCGGAUUUACUGCAUCUCCUGCUCUGCACGUGCGAUCCCAGGCGGUUUCCGAGCGCUGACCUCGAGCUGCUUCCUGCUGCUUCCCUCUUCAUCGUUUGCCUGUGGAUCCCGCGUGCCAGGGACUCUGCCCCGCACGCCCCGCUUCGCUCCCCGUGUGUCCGGAAGAAAGGGUACCUGCUCCCGGGACUUCUUGCAGCAGAUUUACAGCCAAACACAAGUCCCAGCAGACUUCUAAAGAUGAGUAACAGGGGCCAGAAGUGUGGCAUAGUGAGUAAAGCUGCUGCCUGCAGUGCCAGCCUCCCAUAUGGGUGCCAGCUCAAGGUCCAGAUGCUCUACUUCUGAUCCAGCUCUCUGCUACCACUUCCUGGAGUUGCAAGUAUCUGCAGGUGACCUCAUCUGAGACCACCGAAAGCCAGCCUCGCCCUUGGCCAGCUGUAACGUUACUGGAACAGUAUCUCCUGAUGAAGAAACAUGGGCCUCUGACACAACUGAGAGUCCAGGAAUUGGUCAAACAGAAAUUCAACAGGAAGACGAGGAUGUAGGUGCUCAGUCCAAAAGCCUCAGCCAUCUUGCUCUCUGCUCCUGCAAUCAGCACUACUGACUCUGCCUUCGGAUUAUAUAUGGAAUCCAGUCAUUCCUCAUGACCUUGCUGGGCAAGCUGGGGCAAGCCACUGUGAUCGUGACCUGAGUGGCCUCCAUCCACUCCCCCAUGUGCUAUCCUUCACUUCACAGCUAGCAUAGUUCUUUUAAAAGCCAGGCAGGAGAGAGAAUUCGGUGCCAUGGUUAAGUUGCAGCUUCAGAUGCUCACAUCCCUAUCCGAGUGCCUGAUUCAAGUCCAACCCAGCUUCCUGCUACCACAGCAGGUGAUGGCUCAAAUACUUGGAUCCCUGCCACCCACAUGGGAGACCCAGACUGAGCUCCAGGCUCCUAGCUCCUGCCUGGUCCAGCCAUGGCUGGUGCAGGCACUGAGGAGUGAAGCAGUGAUUGAAAGCACUUCCUCCAUCUUUCUGUCUCUCUGCCUUCUAAAUACAAUGGAAAUAAUUUUUUUAAUUUAAAAAGUUAUGGAAGAUCCCAUUUCUUCCUUGUUCAAAGCCUUGCAAUGGGCACUCCGCAUCCCACCUGCUUUGCCUUACCUCCCAUCUGCAUCCAGGACACUGGUUUGCUGCCUGUGCCCGGAAUGCCCCCUCUGCAUACCGACAUAGCUAAUUCCUUCACCAGCUGCAAGUAUCCGAUCCGAUCCUACUUCUCCAUAAAGCAGUCCCUGAACCUAAAGUUACAACAAACUCCUUCACCCAUGUUCCCCAAACUGUUCUUUGCAGCCUUUUCCCCAUCGCAAGUGGUAUUUUUCCCAGUCUUGCUCUAUAUUGGGCUUCAUUUUUUUAUUUGCCCCCAUUAGAAUGUAUGCUCCUAAGCACAGAUUUAAGCCAGCUUUGUUCACGGGUAGAUCUGAGCACCCAGUAGAGAACUCAGUAUAUAUAUA
This is a long non-coding RNA of Lepus europaeus (European hare), 1547 nucleotides long. RefSeq lists it as uncharacterized. Lineage: Eukaryota; Metazoa; Chordata; Mammalia; Lagomorpha; Leporidae. The transcript has 4 exons. The record is from RefSeq and is a predicted model, not a curated record.